RNAcentral lists this ribosomal RNA (410 nucleotides) under Cotesia rubecula. RNAcentral describes it as "partial 16S ribosomal RNA". The record is from RNAcentral. Lineage: Eukaryota; Metazoa; Arthropoda; Insecta; Hymenoptera; Braconidae.
GUCUUAUUGAAAAUAAUUUUAAGUCCNAUCUGCUCAAUGAAUAAAUUUAAAUAGCUGCAGUAUAAAUAACUGUACAAAGGUAGCAUAAUAAUUUGUUUUUUAAUUGAAAACUAGAAUGAAUGAUUUAAUGAAAUAUAAACUGUAUCAAAUUUAAAUAAUAAAUUUAUUAUUUAAAUAAAAAAAUUUAAAUAAUUUUUAAAGACGAGAAGACCCUAUAGAAUUUUAAUAAUAAUUUAUUUAAAUUUAAAUAAAUUAUUAUAUUAAUUGGGGAAAUUUUAAAAUUUUAAAAAUUUUUAAUUAAAAAAACAUAUAUUUUUGAAUAUUUAUUAUUUUUUAAAAAAAUAAAUUUAAUUACCUUAGGGAUAACAGCAUAAUUUUUUUAAAAAGUUCAAAUUUAUAAAAAAGUUUAU